CUGCAGUUACAUUUAUACACAUAUAUUAAUAAUUGGGAUUAUUUUAUUUUGCAAUUUUUACAGGAUCUGUUUUUUAUAAUUAUAUGUGAGUUAUAGUUUGACUUAUAUAUUAAUACGAUGCCUAUAUUUUUAUUAAUAUGUUAAUACAAGGUCUUUUUUUUUUAAAUAAUUUAUAUCGGACUGGUUAGAGUAAUUGUGACUUAAAAAAAACCAGUAAUAAAAUAACCGCGAAGUCUCACUUGAUUCU
Molecule: long non-coding RNA, 247 nt
Filed under: Trifolium pratense (red clover)
Lineage: Eukaryota; Viridiplantae; Streptophyta; Magnoliopsida; Fabales; Fabaceae
Description: long non-coding RNA (TPRA_LNC000469)
Source: RNAcentral